AACGCAUAUUGCGCCUCUCCUUAGAGAGGCAUGUCUGUCUGAGCGUCAUUUAAAUCAAAUGAGACUAUUGGUCUCGUAUUGGGCAUCGCCCCUGGGCAUAGCCUCGAUGCCAUCGCUCUAAUGACCAGGCGAGUUCCUCUGGGACGGACCACUCGUGGCCUGACGACUUCUGACUUGAUCUCAGAUCAGGUAGGACCACCGCCUGAACUUAA
This 212-nucleotide unclassified non-coding RNA is filed under the name uncultured fungus. RNAcentral describes it as "partial contains 5.8S ribosomal RNA, internal transcribed spacer 2, and large subunit ribosomal RNA". Lineage: Eukaryota; Fungi. The record is from RNAcentral.